UACCCAAUUUGUGAAGGCAGGAAAGUGGUUGUAAUUGUCAACUUCUCGCUCACGCCGACUGUUGAUUAUUUCUUGUAUAUCGCUGAAAUUUGAUACUUCAUGAUUUUUCCAGAUAUGGCGAGCACUUUUUGCGGAGUUGGUGCAGCUGACUUCUUUAACGUCUUUUUGUCGUACUGGAGCAUUGUGUUUACUCGGACCUUGGCUAUGUUGCCUUGGUUGGUUUACUACUUCGUUGUUCCUUUGUACUUCGUUGAAGUCGUUGUUAACUGCAGCACCUCUACUGCCCUCUUGAUGAGCUGUAACCUGGG
Molecule: long non-coding RNA, 308 nt
Filed under: Setaria viridis
Lineage: Eukaryota; Viridiplantae; Streptophyta; Magnoliopsida; Poales; Poaceae
Description: long non-coding RNA (SVIR_LNC010844)
Source: RNAcentral